UACGAAGGGUGCAAGCGUUAAUCGGAAUUACUGGGCGUAAAGGGUGCGUAGGCGGUUAGUUAAGUCUGUUGUGAAAGCCCUGGGCUCAACCUGGGAAUUGCAGUGGAUACUGGCGAGCUAGAGUGCGGUAGAGGAUGGUGGAAUUCCCGGUGUAGCGGUGAAAUGCGUAGAGAUCGGGAGGAACACCCGUGGCGAAGGCGGCCAUCUGGACCAGCACUGACGCUGAGGCACGAAAGCGUGGGGAGCAAACAGG
This 253-nucleotide ribosomal RNA is filed under the name uncultured bacterium. RNAcentral describes it as "partial 16S ribosomal RNA". It matches the Rfam family "Bacterial small subunit ribosomal RNA", at positions 524 to 776 of the family's 1533-position model. The record is from RNAcentral.